Molecule: ribosomal RNA, 542 nt
Filed under: Salmonella enterica
Lineage: Bacteria; Pseudomonadati; Pseudomonadota; Gammaproteobacteria; Enterobacterales; Enterobacteriaceae
Description: partial 23S ribosomal RNA
Rfam family: Bacterial large subunit ribosomal RNA
Source: RNAcentral
UGCUGGAGGUAUCAGAAGUGCGAAUGCUGACAUAAGUAACGAUAAAGCGGGUGAAAAGCCCGCUCGCCGGAAGACCAAGGGUUCCUGUCCAACGUUAAUCGGGGCAGGGUGAGUCGACCCCUAAGGCGAGGCCGAAAGGCGUAGUCGAUGGGAAACGGGUUAAUAUUCCCGUACUUGGUGUUACUGCGAAGGGGGGACGGAGAAGGCUAUGUUGGCCGGGCGACGGUUGUCCCGGUUUAAGCGUGUAGGCUGGUUUUCCAGGCAAAUCCGGAAAAUCAAGGCUGAGGCGUGAUGACGAGGCACUACGGUGCUGAAGCAACAAAUGCCCUGCUUCCAGGAAAAGCCUCUAAGCAUCAGGUAACAUCAAAUCGUACCCCAAACCGACACAGGUGGUCAGGUAGAGAAUACCAAGGCGCUUGAGAGAACUCGGGUGAAGGAACUAGGCAAAAUGGUGCCGUAACUUCGGGAGAAGGCACGCUGACACGUAGGUGAAGUGAUUUACUCAUGGAGCUGAAGUCAGUCGAAGAUACCAGCUGGCUGCA